UCUUAAAGAGCAUCCCCCCCUGAUUAGACGCCUUUAUGAUCACGUCUAAUCAGCAGAUAUUUGAAGACUACGCGAAGACCUCACGAAAACAACUAAGAGUUCUACUAUUUAUUCAGAAAUUAAACAUCACAGAUUAUUAUCCUCAUCAUCAUCAUUUUUUGAGAACCCGAAUAUUCAAUUUUUAAGGGAAUGCAGAGUUCCAGCAAAACGGCAUAUUUUUUCUUUCUAAAAGAUACUUUUUAUCACUUGUUAAAGGUAUCCAAUUAAUUGAAGGAAGA
This is a long non-coding RNA of Polistes dominula (European paper wasp), 278 nucleotides long. The record is from RefSeq and is a predicted model, not a curated record. NCBI's taxonomy places the organism in Eukaryota, Metazoa, Arthropoda, Insecta, Hymenoptera, Vespidae.